Molecule: ribosomal RNA, 492 nt
Filed under: uncultured bacterium
Lineage: Bacteria
Description: partial 16S ribosomal RNA
Rfam family: Bacterial small subunit ribosomal RNA
Source: RNAcentral
AGUGAACGCUGGCGGUAGGCCUAACACAUGCAAGUCGAACGGCAGCACAGUAAGAGCAUGCUCUUACGGGUGGCGAGUGGCGGACGGGUGAGGAAUACAUCGGAAUCUACUUUUUCGUGGGGGAUAACGUAGGGAAACUUACGCUAAUACCGCAUACGACCUACGGGUGAAAGCAGGAGAUCUUCGGAUCUUGCGCGAUUGAACGAGCCGAUGUCGGAUUAGCUAGUUGGCGGGGUAAAGGCCCACCAAGGCGGCGAUCCGUAGCUGGGCUGAGAGGAUGAUGACCGACACUGGAACUGAGACACGAUCCAGGCUCCUACGGGCGGCAGAAGUGGGGAAUGUUGGACGAUGGGGGCAAUCCUGAACCAGCCGUACCGCGUGGGUGAAGAAGGGCUUCGGGUGGUAUGGCCCUUUUGUUGGGAAAGAAAAGCAGCGGGUUAAUACCCCGCUGUUGUGACGGUACCCAAAGAAUAAGCACCGGCUAACUUCGUG